AACUCCUCAAACCCCCCAUCCUUCCUUCCCUUCCACUCUGCUCCGUGAUGCAAAAUUUUCUCUUUUUUUCAUGAUUCACCACUCGCAAUGGAGUUGCAAGCAUGAGGGACGUGGGUCAGGCAUCUGAACUUGUCAAAUCUUGGUCUGAAGGGAAUGUUAUCUCCUGAGAUUGGACAGCUUACUAAUAUGCAUUUUCUUGUACUGCACAGGAACUUGUUCUAUGGCAUUAUCCCUAGAGAGAUGGGAGAUUUACGAGAGCUGAAGGUGUUGGAUCUGGGGUACAAUAACUUCAAUGGAUCAAUUCCAUCAGAGCUAAUAAACAUUUUAUCCCUGGAAUUUAUCUUUCUUAAAAGAAACAGACUUUAUGGUGAUUUAUCUCUUGAACUAAAUGAGCUCAUCAGUCUGUGUGAGUCUCGGGUUCGCCACGGCAGGACUUUCUCAAAUAGGAUGCCCGCUGCAAGGUUUGUCUAAGUUUUCUUCUACUUGCAUAUCUGAGAGUUAAACUCGUGCAAGGCUUGAGUUAAAUUUUCAAAUCAAACAGGGAUUUGAGCAAGCUUGAUUUUGGUUAAAAAAUCCCAUCCUGUUCCUGCAAUCACAUGUAUGUUAAUGAUAUCUGAAAUAUUUGAGAAUUAUCUGUUUCGACUCAAGAAAUGUCAGACUUCUUUUAGGAACAUUUCCUCCACAAAAUGGUAAAUUAUAUGCGAGUCGGCAUCCCCGAAACCCAGCCCAAAUCCCCACAUAUAACCUCACUCCGGACGAACCCUAGACCCAAAUCUCUAGACAAUGCCAUGUUGAAAGAUAGGCUUGCGAAGAUUCGGCUCAAGAAUUCCUGAGGGUACUUCUGUCUUUAUUAUAUUUGUUCUCACACCUUGGGCGUUGUGUUUUCCCGCCGCAACGCACGCGUCGACCCGCAGUCUCAUAUUAAGUGAACCAGAAGCGGUACAUGCGAUAGAAAAGAAAAACAAACCCAACCACCAGCACGACCCUUCCUCUCGAUCCCAUCUGGACCUUUAGUAUUCUCGGGAUAUAUCUGAUUAUGAAGAUGUUCCGUAUUGCUCUGGAGCCGACAACUUUUUGGACUGCUCGAUGUCUAUAACCAAUGAGACUACUUUUUUGGUUGUUGGCUGGAGGCUGGAGCUAUCACUAUGACUGAAAUUUUCUUUUCACCAAAGUAAAUUUAUAUGGUCAUCAAAAACCAACGACAGGUCAACACUUGUCAGCAGUUUGCAAUUUGUAUUACAGUAUGCGUAAGCCAAUGGUCAGACAUUGUUGUUUUAGUUAGGAAAUGUAGAAACGUGUUCAUGAUUUAUGUAGAUUGGACAGUCCCUUCAAACUGUAGUAUUCGAUCUUGAGCGGACAAUCUAACUAUAUGUUUCCUUAUAGAAAAUUGACUAUAUGUUCCAUGAAUUGACUGAUUAGUUUGGCCCGAUCAGAUUAAACUAGGUCUUGAUUUGAAGGUCCAGUUAGGGCAGCUGGUGCUGGUUUGUUUGUUGUAAUACUAACUAUGCUAUUUAGACAGAGACAUGUGGUCUUUCUCAUUCCUCGACAUUUUCCUUUGCUACCAAGAUUUUUCAUUCUAGGUUGUGAAAAAACGGAUGUAGCAUUCCUUCUACAAGUUGUCAUGAGCUGGGACAUAGAAGAAGAGAGCCGACAAGAAGUUGCACAGCGGUUCGCUCUGGUGUCGCUGCCAAUGGCGUUGCGCAAAGUGCAGAUUGCAGGCUAGAUGCGUACGAGUCCGUCCCUACGUCCACGAUGUCGAAGCAUAGGAAAUCAAGUCAAUUAGAUAGUAUAUCUGGUUAUGAAAGUUGUCUUUUGUGUACGCAGUUUUGCCAUUAUUUUGUAAAAGCUUUGAGUUUUUGAUAAUGUAAUUGUCUUACUAAUAACACUUUUAAUCAAUUCGUGCCAAGGCUAAUAGCCAAGUUAUGCACAAAUUGUUCA
Molecule: RNA transcript, 1938 nt
Organism: Triticum aestivum (bread wheat)
Lineage: Eukaryota; Viridiplantae; Streptophyta; Magnoliopsida; Poales; Poaceae
Gene name: leucine-rich repeat protein 2
Exons: 4
Source: RefSeq, a predicted model, not a curated record